Molecule: long non-coding RNA, 155 nt
Organism: Aedes aegypti (yellow fever mosquito)
Lineage: Eukaryota; Metazoa; Arthropoda; Insecta; Diptera; Culicidae
Exons: 2
Source: RefSeq, a predicted model, not a curated record
GAUUCGCUAGUGAAAAGUAUGGCCGAACGAACGUCGUAACGUCGAGUCGUGAGUGCAGAAGAAGAAAGAGUGUUAAUUUUAGUGUGAUGACAUCAUUUUGACCCCCGCCCGAAUAAAAUUGUGUCCGAAGAGCCGCGAAGAGAAGUGCGGGAGAA